This 405-nucleotide ribosomal RNA is filed under the name uncultured bacterium. RNAcentral's name for it is "bacterial SSU rRNA". It matches the Rfam family "Bacterial small subunit ribosomal RNA", at positions 355 to 776 of the family's 1533-position model. The record is from RNAcentral.
UAGGGAAUAUUGGACAAUGGGCGCAAGCCUGAUCCAGCCAUGCCGCGUGAGUGAUGAAGGCCUUAGGGUUGUAAAGCUCUUUCGCCAGGGACGAUAAUGACGGUACCUGGAUAAGAAGCCCCGGCUAACUUCGUGCCAGCAGCCGCGGUAAUACGAAGGGGGCUAGCGUUGUUCGGAAUCACUGGGCGUAAAGCGUAUGCAGGCGGAUCGUUAAGUCGGGGGUGAAAUCCCGAGGCUCAACCUCGGAACUGCCUUCGAUACUGGCGAUCUUCGAGUCCGGGAGAGGUGAGUGGAACUGCGAGUGUAGAGGUGAAAUUCGUAGAUAUUCGCAAGAACACCAGUGGCGAAGGCGGCUCACUGGCCCGGUACUGACGCUGAGAUACGAAAGCGUGGGGAGCAAACAGG